GCCAAAACGCGCUGUCUACACGCUUUGGCAAUCUGUACACCAGCUGUCCGUACCGACACGGGACAGCGCAGAUGAACAAGGAGGA
This 85-nucleotide non-coding RNA is filed under the name unclassified sequences. RNAcentral describes it as "aspS RNA". It matches the Rfam family "aspS RNA". The record is from RNAcentral.